CAGGUCUCCCUGAGGGCCGUGCAAGACCAGCACGUCGAUAGGCCAGGUGUGCAACUGCGGUAACGCAAGCAGCUAACUGGUCCUAAUCGCCCGAACGGCUCCAAA
This 105-nucleotide ribosomal RNA is filed under the name Oxalobacteraceae bacterium. RNAcentral describes it as "partial 23S ribosomal RNA". It matches the Rfam family "Bacterial large subunit ribosomal RNA", at positions 2815 to 2925 of the family's 2925-position model. The record is from RNAcentral. Lineage: Bacteria; Pseudomonadati; Pseudomonadota; Betaproteobacteria; Burkholderiales; Oxalobacteraceae.